RNAcentral lists this long non-coding RNA (702 nucleotides) under Citrus x clementina. RNAcentral describes it as "Citrus clementina (C. clementina) long non-coding RNA (CCLE_LNC002820)". Lineage: Eukaryota; Viridiplantae; Streptophyta; Magnoliopsida; Sapindales; Rutaceae. The record is from RNAcentral.
GAAAGUAUUUGCUCUGACUGCAUCGAUGGCCAAUAACAGAAGCAGUUCCCUAACCUUUUAACUGAAAUAAACACCAAAAUACAAAACCAAGUUUCUAAAGUGAGAUUAAAACCUUGCACCAACAUAUCAUAUUUCAUUAUGCACAUAACAAAACCAUUAUCCAACUAGUAGUUAACUUCUCAUAACUUGAAUUCAUUAAAAUGCAUAGGUUACAGAACAUCAUUGGCCUACAUAAUCCAAAUUCACCAGCUACACUGAUGCAUUUCAACAGAGUUGUUAAGCAAUUCCUAUGCUUCCCAACCAAAUCAAGGAAAAGGUGCAUGGGAGAAACAGAUAAUAUCAAAAUAACAGAUUGUACCAGCAAAUCCUUAUAAAUUUCCCAGAUAACAGCAAGCCGCAAUGACAAUAAUCUUUAACAAUUCAUUUUUGGUCAGCUAUGCAUUUAACAGCUUACAAAAAUUUUAACAAAUGAUACUAUUUAAAAAAAAAAGCCAAAACAACAGACUUAAAACAUAAAACAAUUCAAUCUACCAAACACCAGUCAUUGUGUGUCUGAAGCACAAGUAAUUUUUUCAACUAUUGGACAUGAUCAAUCACAAAUUUUCAUUAGAACUGCUUUCAGCAUUAGACCAUCUCCUAAAUGCGCAAGGUACCAAAUUCCUACCAGCAAAAAGCCCCAACUUCACCCGGAAAAACGCCAGU